Molecule: transfer RNA, 72 nt
Organism: Ovis aries (sheep)
Lineage: Eukaryota; Metazoa; Chordata; Mammalia; Artiodactyla; Bovidae
Rfam family: tRNA
About the family: Transfer RNA (tRNA) molecules are approximately 80 nucleotides in length. Their secondary structure includes four short double-helical elements and three loops (D, anti-codon, and T loops). Further hydrogen bonds mediate the characteristic L-shaped molecular structure. tRNAs have two regions of fundamental functional importance: the anti-codon, which is responsible for specific mRNA codon recognition, and the 3' end, to which the tRNAs corresponding amino acid is attached (by aminoacyl-tRNA synthetases). tRNAs cope with the degeneracy of the genetic code in two manners: having more than one tRNA (with a specific anti-codon) for a particular amino acid; and 'wobble' base-pairing, i.e. permitting non-standard base-pairing at the 3rd anti-codon position.
Source: Rfam
UCCCUGGUGGCUCAGUGGUAAAGACUCUGCCUGCCAAUGCAGGAGACUCGGGUUCAACCCCUGAUCUGGGAA